UACAGGGGGGGCAAGCGUUGUUCGGAAUUACUGGGCGUAAAGGGCUCGUAGGCGGCCAACUAAGUCAGACGUGAAAUCCCUCGGCUUAACCGGGGAACUGCAUCUGAUACUGGAUGGCUUGAGAUUGGGAGAGGGAUGCGGAAUUCCAGGUGUAGCGGUGAAAUGCGUAGAUAUCUGGAGGAACACCGAUGGCGAAGGCAGGUCUCUGGGCCGAUACUGACGCUGAGGAGCGAAAGCGUGGGGGGCGAACAGG
Molecule: ribosomal RNA, 253 nt
Filed under: uncultured bacterium
Lineage: Bacteria
Description: partial 16S ribosomal RNA
Rfam family: Bacterial small subunit ribosomal RNA
Source: RNAcentral